RNAcentral lists this ribosomal RNA (494 nucleotides) under uncultured bacterium. Its description in RNAcentral is "bacterial SSU rRNA". It matches the Rfam family "Bacterial small subunit ribosomal RNA", at positions 29 to 518 of the family's 1533-position model. The record is from RNAcentral.
AACGAACGCUGGCGGCGCGCCUAAUACAUGCAAGUCGAGCGAGAAGGUGUAGCAAUACACUUGUAAAGCGGCGAACGGGUGAGGAAUGCAUGGGUAACCUACCCUCGAGUGGGGAAUAACUAGCCGAAAGGUUAGCUAAUACCGCAUACGUUUCCGGAACUUCGGUUUCGGAAAGAAAGCAAUACCGUGGGUAUUGCGCUCCUGGAUGGGCUCAUGUCCUAUCAGCUUGUUGGUGAGGUAACGGCUCACCAAGGCUUCGACGGGUAGCUGGUCUGAGAGGACGAUCAGCCACACUGGCACUGCGACACGGGCCAGACUCCUACGGGAGGCAGCAGUAAGGAAUAUUGCGCAAUGGACGAAAGUCUGACGCAGCGACGCCGCGUGGGGGAUGAAGGUCUUCGGAUUGUAAACCCCUUUCGGGAGGGAGAUGGAGUGGGUAACCACUUGGACGGUACCUCCAGAGCAGCCACGGCUAACUUCGUGCCAGCAGCCGC